GAUGAACGCUAGCUACAGGCUUAACACAUGCAAGUCGAGGGGAAACGAUAGAGAAAGCUUGCUUUUUCUAGGCGUCGACCGGCGCACGGGUGAGUAACACGUAUCCAACCUUCCGUACACUCAGGGAUAGCCUUUCGAAAGAAAGAUUAAUACCUGAUGGUAUCUUAAGCACACAUGUAAUUAAGAUUAAAGAUUUAUCGGUGUACGAUGGGGAUGCGUUCCAUUAGGUAGUAGGCGGGGUAACGGCCCACCUAGCCAACGAUGGAUAGGGGUUCUGAGAGGAAGGUCCCCCACAUUGGAACUGAGACACGGUCCAAACUCCUACGGGAGGCAGCAGUGAGGAAUAUUGGUCAAUGGACGAGAGUCUGAACCAGCCAAGUAGCGUGAAGGAUGAAGGUCCUACGGAUUGUAAACUUCUUUAUAAGGGAAUAAACCCUCCCACGUGUGGGGGCUUGUAUGUACCUUAUGAAUAAGCAUCGGCUAACUCCGUG
Molecule: ribosomal RNA, 491 nt
Filed under: uncultured bacterium
Lineage: Bacteria
Description: bacterial SSU rRNA
Rfam family: Bacterial small subunit ribosomal RNA
Source: RNAcentral